GAAAGCCCUAUGAUGGGAAACUACCAUGUUAGGUUUGGAGAGAGAUGGGACCGGUUAUAUAAUAGGGGAAGCAAAUGCAAGAUUUUUCUUUCAAUAGCCGGCCAAAUGACUACAGGAUCAUCGGUCUACUCUAU
Molecule: non-coding RNA, 134 nt
Organism: Capsicum annuum
Lineage: Eukaryota; Viridiplantae; Streptophyta; Magnoliopsida; Solanales; Solanaceae
Source: Rfam